This 254-nucleotide ribosomal RNA is filed under the name uncultured bacterium. RNAcentral's name for it is "partial 16S ribosomal RNA". It matches the Rfam family "Bacterial small subunit ribosomal RNA", at positions 524 to 776 of the family's 1533-position model. The record is from RNAcentral.
UACGGAGGGUGCGAGCGUUGUUCGGAAUUAUUGGGCGUAAAGCGCACGUAGGCGGCCGGGUAAGUCUCACUGUGAAAGCCCGGGGCUCAACCCCGGGAGGCCAGGGGAUACUGCUCGGCUGGAGACAGGCAGAGGCUGGUAGAAUUCCUGGUGUAGCGGUGAAAUGCGCAGAUAUCAGGAGGAACACCAAUUGCGAAGGCAGCUCGCUGGGACGUUACUGACGCUGAGACGCGAAAGCGUGGGGAGCAAACAGG